AGAUGAUUCGGGUAACGGGGAAUCAGGGUUCGAUUCCGGAGAGGGAGCCUGAGAAACGGCUACCACAUCCAAGGAAGGCAGCAGGCGCGCAAAUUACCCAAUCCAGACACUGGGAGGUGGUGACGAGAAAUACCAGGUCGUUCCCACAAGGAUUCGACACUGGAAUGAAUGUAAUUUAAAAAUUUUAUUGAGUAGCAACUGGAGGGCAAGUCUGGUGCCAGCAGCCGCGGUAAUUCCAGCUCCAGUAGUGUAUCCCAAAGUUGCUGCGGUUAAAACGCUCGUAGUUGGACAAGANNGAGUAACUCGGUGCAGGCGGGGAGUGUUAAUACAAUUCGCUUAAAAUAAUCUUCGGAUUGUUUUAUUGAGUUUUGUACCACUUGUCGACUUUGCAGCUGGGUUGCUUAGAUUAUUUUGUGAGAGCAUUCUAUGGCCUUAAUUGUGCUGUAUUAUGUGUCUUGCAUAGCGUGCCUUGAAUAAAUCAGAGUGCUCAAAGCAAGCUUGCGCUUGAAUGUUAAUAGCAUGGAACGAAUGUUUUGUGAAUGCAAUGCUUAAAGUUUUCGAACUGAGAGUGUUGUAGCACCAACCACGAAGCAGAGCAUUGGUUGCUGUCUUCGGGUGAUGAUUAAGAGGGGCAUUUGGGGGCAUUAGUAUUUGGACGCGAGAGGUGAAAUUCUUAGACCGUCCAAGGACUAACAAGUGCGAAAGCAUUUGCCAAGUUUGUUCCCUUUAAUCAAGAACGAAAGUGAGAGGAUCGAAGACGAUCAGAUACCGUCGUAGUUCUCACCGUAAACGAUGCCAACCCGGGAUCAGCUCGGAUUAUUAUAUAAGGAUCCAGGUUGGUCCCCCUGGGAAACCUUGAGUUUUUAGGUUCCGGGGGGAGUAUGGUUGCAAGGCUGAAACUUAAAGGAAUUGACGGAAGGGCACCACCAGGAGUGGAGCCUGCGGCUUAAUUUGACUCAACACGGGAAAACUCACCUGGUCCGGACAUCGAUAGGAUUGACAGACUAAUAGAUCUUUCAUGAUACGGUGGGUGGUGGUGCAUGGCCGUUCUUAGUUCGUGGAGUGAUCUGUCAGGUUGAUUCCGGUAACGAACGAGACCACGGUCUCCAUUUAGGUGUUCGUAAGUCAGGCAAUAAUAGUUGUAUUCAACUUGUUUGAAUAAACCUAUUUUUGUAUGAUUUACGUUGUAUGCAUAGUAAUGUGCAU
Molecule: ribosomal RNA, 1206 nt
Filed under: Sphaeromyxa theraponi
Lineage: Eukaryota; Metazoa; Cnidaria; Myxozoa; Bivalvulida; Sphaeromyxidae
Description: SSU rRNA
Rfam family: Eukaryotic small subunit ribosomal RNA
Source: RNAcentral